CAGCAGCCACGGUAAUACGAGGGGUGCAAGCGUUAUUCGGAUUGAUUGGGUGUAAAGGGUGUGCAGACGGCUUAUUAAGUCAUUUGUUAAAUUCUUCGGCCUAACUGAAGGUCUGCAAGUGAUACUGAUGAGCUAGAGGGUGGAAGAGAGAAGUGGAAUUCUCGGAGUAGCGGUAAAAUGCGUAGAUCUCGAGAGGAACACCAAUGGCGAAGGCAGCUUCUUGGUCCAUUCCUGACGUUCAUACACGAAAGCGUGGGGAGCAAACAGGAUUAGAUACCCGCGUAGUCCCUGUCUCUUAUAC
This 301-nucleotide ribosomal RNA is filed under the name uncultured bacterium. RNAcentral's name for it is "partial 16S ribosomal RNA". It matches the Rfam family "Bacterial small subunit ribosomal RNA", at positions 509 to 807 of the family's 1533-position model. The record is from RNAcentral.